Molecule: non-coding RNA, 18001 nt
Organism: Cordylochernes scorpioides
Lineage: Eukaryota; Metazoa; Arthropoda; Arachnida; Pseudoscorpiones; Chernetidae
Source: the annotation of a GenBank genome assembly
UAUUAACAUCCGCGUCAGUAAGAAGGUCAGGAUGAGUAGGAGAUUCAAUUCUUAAUUUUCUUCCCAUCAGUAAUUCAGAUGGGCUGAAUCCAUUUUCCAAAGGGGUAGUUCUGUAAGCUAGAAGACCUAGAUAAGGAUCCUGUGAUUUCUUCAAUCUUGCCUUGAUCAUCUUCACAGCACUUUCUGCCAUUCCAUCACUUUGGGGGUAUUUAAAUGCUGCUCUUGAUGUGUCUAAAUGCGUACCUUUUUUCAAAAUUCUGGAACAAAUAGUUUUUAAAUUGUGGACCAUUAUCCGUCCUUACAAGUUCUGGUAUUUCAUGUCGUGCGAAAAUAGACUUGGUAUGCAAGAUCACAGUUUCUGCUGAUGAAUUAUCCAAUCUACUAAAUUCUGGGUAACGAGAAUAGUAAUCAGUUAUUACCAAAAAGUGUUUUCCCUCAAAUUGGCAAAGAUCCAUCGCAACCUCCUUCCAUGGUCUAUCUGGGAAGUCAGUCAUGAUAAUUGGUUCUUUCCUUGAACUGCUUUCUUUGAUGCAAAUGUACAUAUUUACAAGCUGUAUGUAGUAGUAUUCUACGGAUUCUGGGAUGAGCAGGAUGCUAAACAAAAAGUCCAUUAAAUAUAUAUUUUUUGAACAAAAAAAGAUAUGAUUACUAACCUUUAGUGAGGAACUGGUUGAUCUUGAGUUGGUGGUGGGUAGAUGGCUUUGAUUGCUUCUAUAAAUGAUUGCAUCUGUUGCCGGGGGUUGCCUGGGUGUGCGCGGCACCAGGCAUAUUUGGCCAAAAAAUAAGGCAAUUGGUUUUUAGGCCGACGUGCUGACCGCAGUUUUCUCUAUAUUUGCCACCAUGUGUUUUCUAUAGUGUUCGUAUGGGUGCCAGUGACGGGGUCCAUGAAAUUUUGAGAGUGAUUGACGGUCAUAUGUAUAUAACCCCUCCGCGCCAAACGGUUGUAGGCACGCCAACAAUCAGUGAUCACUAUCGUGCCUCGAAGAACACAAGCGCGAAUUAUGGGCUCGAUGGUGGCCCUGUUCUUCCGCCGAUUGAACUUUCUUCUAGAAAGAACGAGCUGACUCGCUUCGAUUCAAUUCGAUUUAUUUCAAACAACAAAAAAGAAUUACACUAAGAUUUAAUGCGAUUUAGUUGUAUUUAUUACAGAAAAAAAAAGACUAUUAAAUCAAAAAAGAAAAAAAAGAACAACAAAAAGAAUGAUGAUAAGUAACAAUAAAAUUCUAUGAAUAUGAAUUAUAAUUAAUUAAUAAAAUACAAUAAUAAUAAUAAUAAAAAAAAAAAAAACUAACAUACUCCACCCUGGUGGACUAACUUAGUCCUCAGCAAAAGGUAAUGGUACUAUUUUAGAGACAGUUCUAGUAAGGUGUUCUUGGUGCUUGGUCUUCACCUCGACAACUCGAACUUUACCGUCUGCUCCCGGAAAGACUGGUGAUGCAACCAAGGCUCCAAUACAUUGCUGGUGGUGAUCCUUGAGCAAGAUGAGGUCACCUUCCUUAAUGUUGGGUGAGGAUUUUUGCCAUUUUAGGCGUUGUUGCAAAUUGUUGAGGUAUUCUCGUUUCCAAAAUACAUUUUUAAUUUUUUGAUUAAAAUUAAUAUUUUAUGUAACUGUGUGAUGAGUUCGAGAGCAUUUCAUAUUUUUUUUUGGGUAUAAUGGAAGAAGAAAGUCAUUGUUAAAAACAAUGAUGAUUUUAUACUUUUACUAUUUCCAGAUCUCUACAUGUCCAUAUAUUAGGGCGCCAGUGGCUGCUGAAAAGCAGACCACAAAUUUAUUCAUCUAUGGCACAUGUAGAGACCUAAAGCUGUGCCGGCUAGCAAUUAUGUUGAUGGGGAAAUUAACCAAUCAAUUUUUUGGUUAAACAUAUUUUAUUUAUUCUAAUAAAAUAAAUUUUCAAUGCACUACAAAUAUAGAUAAAACAAAGAAAAAAUACUUGAAUAAUAUCACGCGCAUAUAAGAUUAAAAAUAUAUAUAUUUAAGAAAAAAAAAACUGCAGAUAAGGUUAAAAGGGAGGAGUUUUAAACUUUAUACAAAAGAAAAAAAAAAAGGGCCUAUCGUGCCAAAGUCCCAUUAUCCCCCAACCUACCUAGUCAUCCAGCCACCCAGUGUCCAUCAUUCAAAAGGAUGGGCAGCCAAGGCCGCAGUCAGCGGCCUCCGCCCUCCGCAACUCCAAGUCUUUUUUUCUUCUCAAAAAAAAAAAUCAAAUUUUUUGUUAAUAAAAAGAAAUGUAAAAAUCCGAAUGUCAAUAUCAAAAUUGUCAAUCUUCAAGAAGGUAAAUAUCCCGCUUCCUUGUCCCCAGUGUUGCUGAACUCACCCCCCAAGGCUAUCAUCACUUCUUUUUCUAUGAAAAUAAAAAUUAAAAGGCAUCUUUAAAAAAUGAUAAAAAUAAAUUAAAUAUAAAAUUAUUAAAGAUAUAUUCACAAAAAAUAAUAAUAAAAAUUAUGAAAAUAUUGAAUUAAUGCAGAUAAUUAGGGAAAGGGUAAACAUGGUGGAUGAUACAUUAAAUGAGUAAAUAUUACCUCUGUAUAAUAAAUAUGCCAAACUUCUUGAAGAAUAUGAUAUAUGGGAAGGAAAUAACAUUGAUUUGGGAAUAUAUUAUGGUAAAUAAACAAAAUAUAUAUAUAUGCAGUGGUUAAAACUUGUUUAGUGCAUUUUAUCUGAAGAUGGUAACAACGCUGCUACCAAAAUGUCACACAUCUAUAAUCCGAAUCGUGCUUUCUAUAUAUACAAAUAUACAUUAAUAUAAUAAAGGAAUGAUACAUGAUAUAAGGUAAUAAUGAGUAUAUAAUAAUAAUAAAACGAAUAGAUAUGCACUGAGAGUCUAGGUCAUUUCACUAGCAUUUCAAAAUAGGCAUUGGAGGGGGCGGAGGUGUAGUCCCUGGUGCAAGCGCUGGGAUGGAGGUGCGGAUCUGAGCGGGCUUUUUGUUAGCAGUCUGGCGGCGGGUGGGCCCCCAACGGGCGCACGGCUGUGGGUGGGCGUACUGGCAGGUACGCGGCGGUGGGCGGAGGAGCCGCCACUCAGGGGAGAAGGCAAAGGAGCCAGCUUGGCGGAGGAUCCAAGUGUCCUCGUCGGAGAGGAGAAGGCAAGUGGCUGUAUACAUGUUAAUUAUAAGAGAUAUGUACAUAAAAGAGAGAUAAAAAAUUCAAAUUGACCAAAUCCACUCCAUGAAUCAAAUAUAUAAAAAUAAUAUACAUGACGAAUUUUUUUUCUGAGGAAAAUAUUGAAAAGGAAUCAAAUUUUAAUAUAAAUCACUCUCAGUAGCUCUCUUUUGUGUGAAAGGCCUUGAAACAGUCAGCAAUGCAUAAAGGAACCAGACAGGUCUCACACAUAUAGCUGGUGUCCUUCCUCACUCUUUUACAGAAAAUCUUUUUCCUUUGUCAGAGCAAACUUUGCACCUCUUCUGGAUGGUAGUCUUGCCAGUAGCAGGGAUUUUGGUGAGGAAAUGUUUUCCAAUCAGCCUCUCUGAUGAUCCAGAUGCACUUGGCUGUUCAUCCAAAAUUUCUGUACCUGCUUCUUCCAUCAACCUUUCAAUGAUAGCCAAAUGAUAUUCUCUAAGUGGCAUUUUUUGACCCGUGGUCAAUUUAUUAUAUACAAUAUGGCUAUUGACAAUAGUGAGGCCGAAAAUGUGGAAGAAAAGCUUUUUCCACCACUUUAGAGUACGCCGAUGAAAAGGAUAAUAUGCCAUAAAUUGGUCACUUAUAUCGACACCAGCCUUGUUUUUAUUGUAGUCAACUACAAUAGCAGGUUUGGUUAUCGAAAUGGUUUGAGGCUGUCUUCUUAUUUUCUUUUGAGCCUGGAUCAUGCUGGAAUCUUGGGUUGUUGCUAUCAUAAAGACAUCCCUGGUGUCACGCCAUUUCAAUGCGAGAAGCUGACUGUUUUGACAAAAGAGGCUUUCACCUUUUUUCAGUUUUUUUGAGAAAGCUUUUUUUGGCAAUCCCUUUCUGUUAUGCCUGACUGUUCCUACUGCAAGUGUUUUCUUUUCCCAUAAAUGAUUGAAAAGUUGGGGAGAGGAAAACCACCUAUCGAAAUAGAUGAUGUGGCCUUUCUGGUAGUAAGGUUCAGCAAUCCUGUCAACUAAGCUCAAUAUAGAAUUAUAUUGGAGGCUUUGAUGAGGAUGUCUUCCAGUAUAUAUAUCCAGGUUACAGGUAUACCCUGUACUUGAUUCACAAAUCUUGAUCCCAUAUUUAUGAGGUUUGCCCUUUAUAUAUACUCGGAAAUGAACCCGUCCACGAAAAGGACAAAUGGCCUCAUCAAUUGUCAAUUUUUCAUCAGGCGAGUACCAGGUUCGGAAUUUAUUGACAAGGGAAUCAAAUAAGGUUCUUAUCUUGUAAAUUGGAUCAUAUCCUGGUUGUCCAUGUGGAAUAUAUAGCAUAUUAUCAUUCAGAUGGAGCAUUGAUAAAAUGGCCUCAAAUCUUUCCCUUGCCAUUCCAGUCGAUUUGCAGAAAGCUGUCCUCAUUCCAAUGUGGUUUGACCAAUAUUCUCUAAGCCUUGGUGUGUUGUACACUUUUAGAUUGGUACACUAUGAUGUUGGUUCGUUUAGAUUUAAAUGGUCUCGAGCAAAGGUGAUAAUAUAUUUAAAGAGGAUCAACUUUAUAUUGAGGUGGUUCGUUUGAUUUUGAAAAAAUGAUUCAAUUAUUCAUUCGUGGUAUUUUAAUUUAUUAAGGAUAAAAUAUAAAUAUUAAUAAAAUGUUACAAAUUAAAUAUUUAGUAAAAAAGAAGUUGAAAAAUGUUUGAUUCAAACGGAUGGAUGGGAAAGAAUGUCCGCCCGUGAUGGCCGUCGAUUUUCGAACGUACCCUCGCCCGUGCUUCCCACGUGACCGCCGCCGCCGCGCAUGCGCGCCGACCUUUGUCACCGUCGGCAGGAUGGUGGUGGUUGAAAGGCCGUUCAAACUGUUUUCUUUUCUUCUCGCGUGGGCGUGCCUUGCCUCUCGCAGACCACGUGAGGCCCAGCGCAAAUUACCUUUCACUAACACUUGGUUUUACUACAAGACUCAUAUGAAUGAUUAUUGCCAAAAAUAUCUUCAAUUCAGCAAUAGAAACAGCUUUCCACUUUGCCAACAACCCCCUAGGAUUCAAAGGGCCUUUCUUUCUCUCUUUGUCAAUCACCAUCCUUGCAUAUUUGUUGGUUUCCAACUUUAUUGUUCUAAACAAUUCUUCAUCAAAAAAACUUCUUGAAUACUGAAUAUGGAGAGAGAGUUCCAGGAAAGAAAGCUGCCUUUGGUCCACAGGUUCCAGAAAAUGUAGGCUUUUCAAAAGGUAAUCUUACCUCGGUCCAUCCUUCAUCUUCAGGGGUAGGUUGUCUUAUUUGCAAAAAAAAAAAAGGUGAAAUAUAUGAAUAGGAUGAAAGAAAAAUAAGAAUAGUUACCCCUUCCUCACUUUCUUCAUAAUAAAUUUCAGUUGUAUCAGAUUCUAGACCUUCCAAAGUAAAUUGAGGAUCUUCAAUCGAAUCAUCUAGUUCAGACCCAGAAUCUGCUAGGAAAUAAUCCUCAAACUCUUCAUCAGCUUCAGGAACAUUCAAUAAAUCAAUUCCUGAGGUACUGGGCAUGUUGGGACCUAUUUUUAGAGCGAGUGAAUGAAGAACAAAAAAAGAGAGCAGCACUCUACGUCAAGGAAACAGUAGAAGAUAAACAAAUGACUGCAUGUGGGUAUAUGAGUCACAGAAAUGGAAUCUGGGAGGAGGGGAACACGUGUUAGCCAAUCGUUGAUGGACACUUCAAGGACGUUGUACCCAAAAUCCUGAGGAACGUACUUUAACGGCCGAUUUUAUACCGAUUUUUAAAAAAUGUGGGACGUAAAUAUACGUCCGCCGGGCUUUAAGUGUUAAAUUAUAUAUAAAAUUGACCAGUCAUAUGAAAUAUAUAUCAUCCUCUCCUCUUCGAAAGAGCGGAACUCUUCAUAUGUCCAAUCUUGUAGGUGGUUUCUGAAUCCUACUAGAUCUCCGGAGGGGAUUAACUGGAUCUGGUGGUGUAAUAGUCUGCGGACUCUGGACUGGUUCGGUAGAAGACUGUGGCUCCGAUGUCACUUCCUGGCGUAGUGGAAUCAGUUCCUCUGGUUCGGUGUUUAUAUCAGGCUUAUCAGGCUCGGAGACUCCAGCGUGGUCUUCAGUAGAUUCACUUCUCUACUCAGGAAUGUGAGAUCUCCAUAUUUGGUUCCAAUGUCUUCUAACUUGUCCUUUGGCUGUUUGCAAUGUAACUAGACGGUUUCCCGUAGUGCCUUGAAUGUUAGCUUGGUCCCAUUUUGGUCCUGAUUUGUAGGUUCGAUACCAUACAGACUCUCCUACCUUAAAACCUGGUUUGUCUGAUUUACCAGGAUUUGGUAAGAUCAAAUCCAAACGACUCCGAAUGUUAUGGCCAAACAUCAUUUCGGAGGGAGACUUUCCAAUGCUAGCUAUGGGGGUCCUUCUAUAGCCCAAAAGUAUCUCUGCUAGGUGACAACUUCCCAAAGAUCUUCCUUUUGCAAGAGCAUUUCAAUUUUAAAAGACCAUAGUAAGUAGUUAUAGCCGUCGAGCUUAUCUAGGGUUACAUCGUGGCUCGGUAGUGAUGCCAAUUUUUGCUAAGCCUUUUUUCUUUGUCUUAACUUGUUAGUUGAAUUUCAUGCAAUAUUCAGUCUCAUAAUCUGAUUGUUGUAAGAUUUAGGUACUUACAGCUUGUAUGAAGACAUGAGGCCGUUGAUGAUUAUAUGAUAAUAAACUUUAUUAUCCCCAUUUAGUAAAAGAAAGUUAUAGUAGCGAACACAUUAACAGUAUAGAGAAGAAGUAAACAAAACUGUAGUGAUGAUGAUAAGGCCAGUGUGGCGCUAGCUACAGUCGUAGCAUUCAGUUUCCAACAUUAAUAAAUGAGGCAAUUAUAAUUUUUAGUUAUUUUUAUUACAUAACUUACAGGACACAUCACAUUGUUACAACAAACAACACAUUCACAUACCAAUUGAUGAUGAUCUUAAUACUUAUUCAUAGAACACAUUAUAUAACACCUCCCCCUUAAGCUAAAGGGUUAGUCUCACGGCGGUUUCACCACUCUGCCAGUCCUUGUAAUGUAGGGCCUUGAAGUUCCCCCUGCAGUUCUUGAGAAUCUUGUUGGAAUUCCACCUCACAUGAAGAAGGGUCUUGUUGUUCCACCUCACAUGAAGAAGGGUCUUGUUCUGAAGACUCAGGUAAAUCCACUUGGGUUACCUCCAGGAUAUUUUCUUCACAUUCUCUGGAAACCUUAUGUUUAUAAUUCUGAGCCAAAUGAAUUUUGUUUCUUCUCAAUUGUCCUUUUGGAGACUUUACUAAGUAGAAUCUCGGCUGGUCUGCUCUGCCUAUGAUAGUUCCAGGAACUUUUAGAUCUCAGACCCACACUUGAUCUCAGACAUCAAACUCUUUCUGACUUAAAACUUUCCAAUGAUUGUUGUAACUUCUUCUUUCCCUCUCUCUGUAUUUAUGUUCCUUUUGAUUAAGAAGUCCUUGGUUGACCAGAGUAGGCUUAAGAAGGUCAGGAUGAGUAGGAAGAUCAGUUCUUAAUUUUCUUCCCAUCGGUAAUUCAGAUGGACUGAAUCCAUUUUCCAAAGGGGUAGUUCUGUAAGCUAGAGGUCCUAGAUAAGGAUCCUGUGAUUUCUUCAAUCUUGCCUUGAUCAUCUUCACAGCACUUUCAGCCAUUCCAUUACUUUGGAGGUAUUUAGGGCUGCUCGUGAUGUGUCUAAAUCCGUACCUUUUUCAAAAUUCUGGAACAAAUAGUUUUUAAAUUGUGGACCAUUAUCCGUCCUUACAAGUUCUGGUAUUCCAUGUCUUGCAAAAAUAGACUUGGUAUGCAAGAUCACAGUUUCUGCUGAUAAAUUAUCCAAUCUACUAAAUUCUGGGUAACGCGAGAAUAGUAAUCAGUUAUUACCAAAAAGUGUUUUCCCUCAAAUUGGCAAAGAUCCAUCGCAACCUCCUUCCAUGGUCUAUCUGGGAAGUCAGUCAUGAUAAUUGGUUCUUUCCUUGAACUGCUUUCUUUGAUGCAAAUGUACAUAUUUACAAGCUGUAUGUAGUAGUAUUCUACGGAUUCUGGGAUGAGCAGGAUGCUAAACAAAAAGUCCAUUAAAUAUAUAUUUUUUUGCACCAAAAAAGAGAUGAAUACUAACCUUUACUGAGGAACGGGUUGAUCUUGAGUUGGUGGUGGGUAGAUGGCUUUGAUUGCUUCUAUAAAUGAUUGCAUCUUUUGCCGGGGGUUGCCUGGGUGUGCGCAGCGCAAUUGGUUUUUAGGCCGACGUGCUGACCGCAGUUUUCUCUUUAUUUGCCACCAUGUGUUUUCUAUAGUGUUCGUAUGGGCGCCAGUGACAGGGUCCAUGAAAUUUUGAGAGUGAUUGACGGUCAUAUGUAUAUAACCCCUCCGCGCCAAACGGUUGUAGGCAAGCCAACAAUCGGUGAUCACUAUCGUGCCUCGAAGAACACAAGCGCGAAAUAUGGGCUCGAUGGUGGCCCUGUUCUUCCGCCGGAUGACAUGAAGGAACACUCGUCCCCACUUCCUCUAGACUCCUCCAAGCACCCAUUUUCCGUGAACCCAGCGCCCACGGUUGUCUUUUCUUUUUCCGAAAAUACAUUUGUUGAUUUCGACGAUUUUUCUGGGACUUCCGAUUGGGGUGUUAUCCCGCACCAUGACUUCACGGCUGAAGCUGUACCAGUCUGUGAGGGUGUUGGGUGAGAGGUCCAGGUCGUGGGAUACAAUACGUAGUGUGGUGCCAUAUAUCCAAUUUUGCUUAUCGGCAUCCUUGAUCUCCAGAACCAAGUAUUUUUUUGAAUGGAUCUUGCAAAAUAGUGCGGAUUCACUCCUCCUUUUUUACACAUCCAUUUGUAGUAUUCCCGCCUAGAUCUUUAAGUUGGGCUGGCGUGCCACAUUUGCUGCAUGUAUAAUGUUCAGCCAGUAGGCCCUUUCUAAUACACCAGGCAGCUAUAUUUUGCAUCAGAGAUAUGAGGGAGAAAAAUGUUAUGUCAAGGCGUUCAUCCAUCAAAAGUUCAUUGAUUAAAUUGAUAUUCAUUUGUAAGGGGAGAGCAAGAGAAAGAAUAAAGACGCCAUGACUUAUUUCGCACAACGAAACAAAAACCAAAAGGGGGAGGGGAAGGAGGAGGAUAGCGGUUUGUCAAUAUCCUUGGGAAAGGGGUGAUAGCGAAACAAACAUGUGCGUAUUGAUUCGAAUAAAAUAAAUAUUUUUUAUAUUGAACCUUAAAAUAAAGAUGUUUAUGCAUUUUUUGCUGUUUGGGAACAAAUACAGCUCUGUAACAUUAUGGAAUGAACCUAAGAAUGAAGCCGCGGGGACCGUCGUGAGAUGAUAAUGGCCUACAACCGAGCGGGGCUGUCUGAAAAUAUCCACUGUAACCUAAAUAACUGUCGAAAUCUGGACGCCCCUUCUUUUGUCCGUCUCUGGAUCCCCCAGGUGUCCCGUGGCAAGCUGGUGUCACUUUGAGACAACUAGAAAAGGCGUCAUACUUUAUUACUUACAUAUCACAUUGUUUAAAUUAUGAUAUAUAUAUAUGUAAUAUUGUUGCAAAUGUCCUCGGCGUCCCCUUUCUUGUGGAGCAAGAUAGAGGAACUUUCCUUCCAUGAAGGGGGUACCGCCCUCAUCUGGAAGCAGACCUGGAAGAUCUGGGUGAGGAUGGUGGCUUUGGGAUCCACCCGUUUCAGUUCCUGGUAGCUGAUGCCAUCGGGACCAGGAGCAGUGUUUCCCAUCUUGAGAAGGCGGUACCAUACUGCGUUGGAAGAGAUGGGUUCUUCCAACUGGGCUCCGUCCUGGGGGGCGAAGUCCUUGAGGAGAUCUGGGUCGGGGCUGAACACGGUGUUGUCCCCAACCAUGCGUUUCUCGAAGUGUUCUUCAAUCAUCUGGAUGGGGAUGGUGCAGCCCGGGGAGCGUUGGCCAAAUUUUGGCAUUUAAAAAUGUAGAAAUAUUUUCCAUUAGUUUUUCCAACACAGGAAACAUUUUUUUUUCCUAUUGAAUUUAUCUCCCAUUUUUAAUUUAAAUAAAGUAUUACCAAAUAAUUUGGCAUACAAAAUAAAAUUACCAACCUUAAAUUAAUUAGAAUAUUUUGUAAACAAACGAUUAUAUUAGGGGGACGUUUUGUUGGUCCAGUUCCACAGGCGGUCCUGUCGGAGUCUCGGAAGAAAUCGGCUCCUGGGCCGCUGACUGAGUUGAGUGUUCAGGCUCCUCCAGGGCCACGGCGUCGCUUCCAGGUGUCCUCUUCUUGCUCCUCGUAGAUGGUGCGCUCUUUUGGGCCAGUUUUUCAACCGUAGAGCAAUCCUGGUGGUGUUUCUGCAGGUCUUUGAAGCUUUGUUGGCAGACCGUGCAGUCAAAAACCACGUUGUUGAUCUUGUGUAGAACACGAAGGUGCUUCACCAGAUCGUUGUGCUGUUUGUAGACACCACUGCGGGUUACUCUCGCCAUCCCGUAACACUCGGGACAUUUAAAGACCUCAGGUAGCCGGAACGGCAUCCUAAACGGAUCACAAAGAGCAGGGGCAAGGUUGUGUACAUGUGUCACAUUUGUGUGAGAACCUGGUAGGCAUGUGGUGUCAGACGGGCUUACCACCAGAGCAUCGUGUUUGUGUCACGUGUUACACAGUGUGCAUCAGCGACCUGGUUGUUAUUACCAAGAGGUAAACAAACCUGGUCACGUGACACAACAAUGUGUGCAGAAACAUGCGCAAUAGGAUGGCCAAACUUGUCGAGACGAGUGGCAGAACAAGGAUGCAUGUCACGUGACCAAACAGACAUGGGUGCAAUAACCUGGUUGAUCGCCGGGCCGCGCGGCGAUGGUGCAUUGCGAUGGUACUCAAUUACACAUCUUUUUGGUGGGUUGUGAUGCAGAAUCUUCUUGGGGAACUGAUCUUUUCAUCUGUUCGUUUUCCUGCUCCUUCUUCAAUUCCGCCACCACAGCAUUGCCAAUUCUUAUGGCAUUGUCUGUUCUUUCUUGAUAAACUUGUACGAACUCUUCUUCAGACAUUCCUAGUUUGAAUUCCUUCAAUAUCUUGUUUUUCACCAUAUAGCCGAGGUCCACUUUGUUAGAUUUGGGAAGAAGUGUUAUUGCUAGGCCAGUAUUUCCAGCCAUAGCAGUACGGCCUACUCUCCUGGUAUAGUCUUCCUUCACGUUGGGGCGAUCGAAAUUUAUCACCGCCGAGACUUCACGGAAAUCCAUGCCCCUCCCUGCAACAUCUGUAGCCACCAUAUAAGAUUGGGAUUCCUCUUUGAACUUUCUCAAAUUCUUGUUCCGGUUAGCCCGAGCCAUAUCGCAAUGGAGCAUCAAUGGCCUGAAGCCAAGCGUUUUAAGAAUUCUGUGCAGCCGAAUAGUGCUGAAUUUUGUUUUGCAGAACAUCAGCACUCUCUUACGAUGAAAGGGUCCUUCUAGAAGUGCUGCCAGAUAGUAUUCCUUGUGCUCCGUUAAACAGCGAAGGUAGAAAUGUUCCAGAUGGGGGCUAAUCAGUGUGUCUGCUCGGAUUUCCACAAAGUCUUGCAGAAAAAGUCUAUUGAGAUCUAUAUUCUCCGCAGACAUAGUGGCGGAGAACAGCAAGGUCUGCCUCUCCUUGGGCAGCAGGUUCAGGAUUUCAUCCAGGUCUUUUUCGUUUUUAAGAAUCCGGUCCGCUUCAUCCAGGACCAGCACUUUGAGACAUUUUAAAGAGAAGUUCUUGGUCUUAGAUGGUGAAGGAGGCGUCCAGGGGUGGCGACAAUCACAUGGGGCCUCAGCUCGUUGAGCAGCAGGGCCUGAUGUUCAUAGCUGUCCCCACCCGUUAAAUGGACCACCGCGCAGGCUUGAUUUCCGCUGUGUCAAGUACGAGACUUGGCGACGUGGAAAUCCCACCAGAAGCACUGUACCGCGAACAGGGCCCAGCAGAAGUGCCAGGCCAAGAAAUUGGUGAAAUAAUUGCCUGCAUUUAAAAAUAUGGUUUGGGCUAUUAUCACAAAUCAAUAUUCUAUAACUGUAGAAGUCCAUUGAUGAAACCUUUUUAUUGGUUAUUGUGCCUGAAAAUGGCUCAAUUUGCAUAAUGUUAAAAUGGUAGCCGUCUUCACCAUAAGGGAAUAUCAAUGGAUAUUGAAGGGCAUCAUAGGACCGAUGUGUUUUUGAAAUUUGCUGUAUUAAGAUAGGUCACGCCAUCCUCAAACUCGAUCGUUGAUGGUACAAAAUCACGUACGAGGAAGGAUGCGGAGGAAGUCACCUCGACGCAGAACUCACUAGAGCCAUAAUGAGUGGAAAUAGUAGCCAUGUCAUCAGAACCAAAGGUUUGAUAACCCACAAGCAGAGCACCAAGCCCAGUAAUAUGGUCAGGAGUGACCUUGGCGAUAGGCAUCCAGGAAAAUGCUUUGUCGCCAGCUCGGGGAGUGUAGGUGUAGGUUCUAGUGUCACUUUCUCUAAAAGUGACGGCUCUGUGGUCGCGUUGAAUGUCUGUGAGAUGCAUCCAUGUGUAGUCUACACUGGAGUUUGGAGUAUCCAUGGAAUAGGGAAUGAAACAGACCGAGAUUGUACCACCUCUGUUCCUUACAUCAGUGUUAGUCAUAAUCCGGAAAUGCAGCGAUUGGAGCCGAGCCUCACGAUAAUGGCAAAGAUAUUUACCAUCGUCGAUGCCAGCGUCCCAUUUCGCAGCAAGCCAUGGUGAAUUGUUAUUAUUUAAUAGAGAGAGAAAAAAAAAUUCUUUACUUCUUACGCAUCAUCCAUAUAUAUUUAUAAUUAAUAACAAUAAAAUUUAACAACGUAACGUCUUUUGCAAUCGGCUGUUACCCGUCAUUUAGACAUACUCUAAUUUAUAUAUAGAAUAAUAGAAGUGAGAAUAUAUUUAAUAGUAUAAAUUUUAGUAGUUAUAUAGAGAAAAGAGAGAAAGACAGAACGACAUAUAUAUAUAUGUCGUAAACCCGGGUGAGACAACAAGUGGGUUGGAAGCAGUCGGGGUUGAGUGGCAAGGCGUGCAGAGUGGGAAGUCCGCACGGGACAGUAAGGACAAAGUUUGGGACCAAAAGAUGCUCUCCCCAGUACGUCUCAAGUGGCACCAGGACCAGGGGAAAGUUGAGGAUUAACUGAGGAAAAGCUCGGCGUCCAGCCUGAAGCCGCGGGGACCGUCGUGAGAUGAUAAUGGCCUACAACCGAGCGGGGCUGUCUGAAAAUAUCCACUGUAACCUAAAUAACUGUCGAAAUCUGGACGCCCCUUCUUUUGUCCGUCUCUGGAUCCCCCAGGUGUCCCGUGGCAAGCUGGUGUCACUUUGAGACGACUAGAAAAGGCGUCAUACUUUAUUACUUACAUAUCACAUUGUUUAAAUUACGAUAUAUAUGUAAUAUUGUUGCAAAUGCCGACGUUAGGAUGAACUGGCAGUCGUGUACGUGAGGCGAGUGUUGGUGUUCUUCCCACACACGGACAACAAGAAGCAGAGGCAGGGCUGGAUGUUAACACAGAGAGUGAUCGGGAACAGCCCACGGGACAGAGGUAGAGGCCAUGACACAAACUUGGAUGCUUAUCACCGAGACCUGGAGGGAGAGACUGUGUGAGAGACAUAUAUAUGAUGUAAUUCUAUGUGUGAAAAAGAAUUAGCAGUCGUUUGUGGCCGUCUCCACCUCAAUAAUCAUAUCUUUAUUUUUUUCAAAUCUUUUUAAAACAAACAACAAAAUUUACAUACUUGGCACGCUGUAAAAAUUAAUUAUUUUACAAACAAAGAACAUUAUGCAAAACAGAUAGAAUUUUAAUAUCAUUCAAAAUGAAUCACUACCCCCCACAAAAAAAAAAAAAAAAAAACUAGUGUUAAUUUUUUUCUCAACGGAGGUUGGGAGGGGAUGGAAGGUAAAGGAUAAGAUACAUUUUGAAGGAAGAAAAAAAAUGCAAAAAUUAUAUUACACAAGUAAUUGUAUUUACACAAGAAACUAUAUUGUUAGAGGUAAAAGGCGACCAAAGCCUGUUGGGGAAAAUCACAGGAAAAGGUGGCCCUACAAAACCUAACUAACAAUAGGCAGGAAGAAAAAAAUGAUAUUUUAAAAUUUGGACAUUACAUGUCUAUGGAGACACUCUCCAUGUAGAAUCCCAUUCCAGGGCAACUUUUUUGUUAUUUUCUCGAAACCGGCAGUAGUUUCUCCAGGGGCUCUGUGGGGUGAUCUGGAUUUUUUUUUUUCUUUAAUGGAAGAGAAUAAAACCUGAGGACUAUCGGUGGAAGCUUGCUUGUUAGGUUCGAUACCCAAGCAUCCUUCCAAAUCCUCUUCUUCCUGAAAUGGGAAUGUUGGUUCAGUAUUAUCUUCAGUUACCGGAUCCCAGAGCUUUACUUUAGAAAUAUUAACUAUUGUUGCAUGCUUAUUUUCGGGUUGGCAAGGCUUAUCUAUUUCUAUGGUUUGUAGUGAGGGUAUGGAAAUUAUGGUGUAUGGUUCUGGAUAAAAGGCUGGCAUGAGCUUACCUUGACCUGAUUGGUAAGGGAUCUUAUAAAGGACCUUAUCCCCUAUUUUUAGAUUAGGCGUUUUAUGGGAUUCAUUAUAUCUUUUUACCAAUUUAAGAUGUAAUUUUUCGGUAUUUUCAUUUGCAAUUUUCCUAGCCUCUUCUAUGGGUGGAUAUGCUCUUGUUAAUUUAUUGAUAUAUGAUGGCGUUAUGCCAAAAAGCAAAUAAACGGGAGGCAUUUUAGUUAUGGAAUGAGGAAUACUCCGAUAUUCUUCUAAGGCCUUUUGUAAUAAUUUGGGCCAUGGUAUUCUGGGAUUUUGUUGAUGGCCUUGAUUCUUUGAUGUUGGCCUUGAUCUCGAUAAAUUAAUUUCAGACACUUGUCUUUCAAGUGAAGAAAUUUUCUCUAACAAAUUUUCCAUAUUAGUAUGAGAAGUUUGUGAAGAACUAGCACUACAGACAUCAGGGCUAAAGGUCAUGUCCAUUAUUUUAUCAGCCAUUAGAUGCUAAUUUUGUGACAUUUUCAUCACUUACAAGUAAUAUCUUCUUCAUUGAAUCAGAUAAUUUUUAAAGCCAUAAUGUCUUUAUUAGAUUAUCUAAUAUAUCUUUAGUGGCAAGAGAUCUUAAUUUCUAUAAAAGUUGACUAGGCUUCAUGUUUCCAAGCUCAAUUCCUGUGAUAAGCCUUUUUAUUCUAACACUUUCACUCGCUUUAAAUAUAGUUAAAAGUCUAGUUUUGGACUCUGUAUAUUUAAAUUUACUAUCAAGAGUAAUUAUGUCCCAAAUAUUUUCAAUAUACUUAGGCUCAAGUUGUGCGAUCAAAUAAUUAAAUAUAUAUUUUGUUUCUUCUGAAGUUAUACAAUUUAUACUGAAUUGCGCCUCAACUUGAUAAAACCAAAUCUCAGGUUUAUCUGUCCAAAAAGGAGGAAUUUUAAUACUUACUUUGUGGACUUCUUGAGGUGAAGAAGCUUCUUUAAUUGUAUUUUCAUUCGAAUCUUUGUUCAUUUUAAAAAUGUGAUCACGUCCGGCUCACCAAAUGUGGUAGAUGUUUUGAAGAAAUAGCCUUAGCCUUUUUAAAAUGUGUCUGUACGCUGCUCUCCCUCUUUAAGAGGUGGAAUUUUACUGGUCUGUCAAGUAGGAUUUCAGUUCUUAUUGUGUGGAAAUUUAUGAAUAGUGCAUGGUUUUUUGGGUUAUACAUCUCGAUGGGGGAUAAGACUUUACACUCUUCAUUGAUUAGAUAUAUAGUGUUGUUUUUAGGCCAGAUCUUAUCUUUUGGUUGAUUACAAUAUGUUUUUACUUUUACAUUAUAGUUAGUUGAAUAUUUUAUGAAUUGGAAAAAGUCUUUACUUAAAUUGCUAGAAUAUUGAAGGUUAUGCUUAAUAGAUAUUAUUGGAUUUAGGAUUAAGUCUAGAUGAUUGUUACUUGCAGUGCAUUUCCGUUCACUUGGGCACUGUUCUGCAGAGCGCUCCUCUUCUGCAGCAGCAGCUGAUGGAAGGAGUGCAGGCUCUGGUAUAUCAUUGCAUCUGGUUCUUUGUUCUGUAGAUCUGCCGACUUUUCCUCGAUCUUGAAAAGAGUGGUGAUCACUUUUAGUUGGUAGGCGUUGUUCAUUUUUAGAUUCAAAACAUGACGCCAGGAUACGCCCGGAGUUCCUAGCGUCGCUUCGAAGUUUUUUGAAUCCCCAGGUCCUACAGUUGCGUACAGGUCCUGCAGUCUUGCAUAGUUCAGGACCCAAGGAGGGAGAUGCAGCUUCUGGCUUUUGCUGAUUGAUUCUUGGAUGUUGCGUAUGCCGGGCACUUCUCUGAACUGCUGGAGCAUCUUGGAUGUUUCCACUCUUCCUCUCACUUUUCUUGCCAUGGCCCACAGACAUCUCUGUGCCUUGUAGAAGUUUUCGAGAGUCAAACCUCCUCUCUUUAUCAUUAUGAAGAAGAUGAGGAAGACUGGGUCAAUGUUUGAGCCCUGCUGUCUGAACUGGUCUGCCUCAGCAGGUUGAGUGGCCCUUAUAUCGGCAAUUUCUGUAUCUAGUUCGGCCAGAAGAGCAGUGAACCUGGUGGCAACACUUCUGGUUGCGGAUGCAGCAAGGGCUGUCAUUCUCUGCCUUAUUGUUCCUUGGUUUGUGUCCGACCAGAGGAGAGCAGUGGUUAACAUUCUUCUAUUGCUCUUGUUCCUCUUGUCUUCUGCGAAGGGGAAGAUUGGGUCUUCUGAUCGGAGGGCAAGCACAACCUCAUCCACAUAAGGUGGCUUCAAUGGUGGUGCCAGGCAAAACAUAUUUUUUUAUAACCGCAAAUUGCAAUAUAUAAAUAAUGCAAAUUGCAAAUGUUUUAUAAAGUACAAUUGUGACAAUGGUUCAUAUAACUUGAAUAUCUGAUAAAACAUGACUUUGCCAUAUUAACUUAACUCUGUACAAACUCUGUACAAAAUUAUGAUAUUAAAUUAAUUUUAAUAUAAAUAAUAAAAUUUCAAAUAAUUUUUAAUUUUAAAUUUAUAUUAAAAUCUAUUUUAUCUAGCGAUUUAUUCUAGUGUAAAUAGUGUAAUUUAGGGCUGCUCUUGAUGUGUCUAAAUGCGUACCUUUUUUCAAAAUUCUGGAACAAAUAGUUUUUAAAUUGUGGACCAUUAUCCGUCCUUACAAGUUCUGGUAUUCCAUGUCUUGCAAAAAUAGACUUGGUAUGCAAGAUCACAGUUUCUGCUGAUAAAUUAUCCAAUCUACUAAAUUCUGGGUAACGAGAAUAGUAAUCAGUUAUUACCAAAAAGUGUUUUCCCUCAAAUUGGCAAAGAUCCAUCACAACCUCCUUCCAUGGUCUAUCUGGGAAGUCAGUCAUGAUAAUUGGUUCUUUCCUUGAACUGCUUUCUUUGAUGCAAAUGUACAUAUUUACAAGCUGUAUGUAGUAGUAUUCUACGGAUUCUGGGAUGAGCAGGAUGCUAAACAAAAAGUCCAUUAAAUAUAUAUUUUUUGAACAAAAAAAGAUGAUUACUAACCUUUACUGAGGAACGGGUUGAUCUUGAGUUGGUGGUGGGUAGAUGGCUUUGAUUGCUUCUAUAAAUGAUUGCAUCUGUUGCCGGGGGUUGCCUGGGUGUGCGCGGCACCAGGCAUAUUUAGCAAAAAAAAAAGGCAAUUGGUUUUUAGGCCGACGUGCUGACCGCAGUUUUCUCUUUAUUUGCCACCAUGUGUUUUCUAUAGUGUUCGUAUGGGCGCCAGUGACGGGGUCCAUGAAAUUUUGAGAGUGAUUGACGGUCAUAUGUAUAUAACCCCUCCGCGCCAAACGGUUGUAGGCACGCCAACAAUCAGUGAUCACUAUCGUGCCUCGAAGAACACAAGCGCGAAUUAUGGGCUCGAUGGUGGCCCUGUUCUUCCGCCGGAUUGAACUUUCUUCUAGAAAGAACGAGCUGACUCACUUCGAUUCAAUUCGAUUUAUUUCAAACAACAAAAAAGAAUUACACUAAGAUUUAAUGCGAUUUAGUUGUAUUUAUUACAGAAAAAAAAAAAAAGACUAUUAAAUCAAAAAAGAAAAAAAAGAACAACAAAAAGAAUGAUGAUAAGUAACAAUAAAAUUCUAUGAAUAUGAAUUAUAAUUAAUUAAUAAAAUACAAUAAUAAUAAUAAUAAAAAAAAAAAAACUAACAUACUCCACCCCGGUGGACUAACUUAGUCCUCAGCAAAAGGUAACUGUACU